UGCUUGGUUUGGUUAUUUGGAAUUGUUGGUUGAUCCUACUGUUUUCUGUUGUUUUCUUUUUCCCCUCUUUUCUUUCUGGUUUUAGCAAAUUUGAACUCAGGCUGCUAGUUUUUAUGAUGUGUAUCGGUUGAAGUUUCAAGUUAUUUAUUCUGUUUGGAAAUAAAAAAAAGAUCUAGAGAGACAAAUGUAGUUUAUUAAAGUCAAUAGAGUUAAUUAUUUUAAAACUAGUACAUGUUUGAAUUCAAUAUUAUUACAUGCUUCUUGUUUUUUCUAGUUUUAAGUAGCAUAUGAGAUUUUGUCAAUGUUUGGGUAUAAUAAUCUAGUUUUUAAUGAGAUUUUGUGAAUGAAGGAUUCUGAGUACCCUUUCAUUUUUUGGACUUCCCCAUUGUAGUUCUCACUCACCUUAGUUUCUCCAUUCCCACCAUUUGAUUGAAGAUUUUUUUUGUUAUUACUCCUUAUAGGUUUCUUAGGAAGAGUUCGAUAUAUAUGUGACUGGCUCAUGGAAUUAUGGUAUUUGGUGCCAUACUGCAUUGGGAUAUGAAUCUUCUUGCAAUCAAAUAACUGCAGAAGAACUGCGGUCUUCCAAAAUAUGGACAGCUUUGUCAUACACAUGGGAUAAUGUUGGGCACUUCAUUCAAGUAAGACGCUAUAGACCUACAUUGUCGCAAACCAACAAUGAAUGGUAUGUCAAUACAUGUAUGGCUUGCACAUGAACCCUUCAAUCGCUGUAGCACUUUUUUUGUUCCUGAACCUGAGUAGUUGCUGUAAUCUUCCUAUUCGUUUUAAUAAUUUGAGAGAAUUGGUACAUGAUUAUUCAUAGUUCAUCUUUAUUGGCGAUGAUUGCAUAAUACAAACUGUUUAACUCUAAGGAUUACAAA
Long non-coding RNA from Cucumis sativus (cucumber), 878 nucleotides. RefSeq lists it as uncharacterized. The transcript is spliced from 2 exons. NCBI's taxonomy places the organism in Eukaryota, Viridiplantae, Streptophyta, Magnoliopsida, Cucurbitales, Cucurbitaceae. The record is from RefSeq and is a predicted model, not a curated record.